UACGGAGGGAGCUAGCGUUGUUCGGAAUUACUGGGCGUAAAGCGCACGUAGGCGGCUAUUCAAGUCGGGGGUGAAGGCCCGGGGCUCAACCCCGGAACUGCCCUCGAAAACUAGAUAGCUAGAAUCUUGGAGAGGCGAGUGGAAUUCCGAGUGUAGAGGUGAAAUUCGUAGAUAUUCGGAAGAACACCAGUGGCGAAGGCGACUCGCUGGACAAGUAUUGACGCUGAGGUGCGAAAGCGUGGGGAGCAAACAGG
This 254-nucleotide ribosomal RNA is filed under the name uncultured bacterium. Its description in RNAcentral is "partial 16S ribosomal RNA". It matches the Rfam family "Bacterial small subunit ribosomal RNA", at positions 524 to 776 of the family's 1533-position model. The record is from RNAcentral.